UCGACGGAAGGNCCUUCGGGGUANUCGAGUGGCGAACGGGUGAGUAACACGUGGGUGAUCUGCCCUGCACUUUGGGAUAAGCCUGGGAAACUGGGUCUAAUACCGAAUAGGACCACGCGCUUCAUGGUGUGUGGUGGAAAGCUUUUGCGGUGUGGGAUGGGCCCGCGGCCUAUCAGCUUGUUGGUGGGGUAAUGGCCUACCAAGGCGACGACGGGUAGCCGGCCUGAGAGGGUGACCGGCCACACUGGGACUGAGAUACGGCCCAGACUCCUACGGGAGGCAGCAGUGGGGAAUAUUGCACAAUGGGCGCAAGCCUGAUGCAGCGACGCCGCGUGAGGGAUGACGGCCUUCGGGUUGUAAACCUCUUUCAAUAGGGACGAAGCGCAAGUGACGGUACCUAUAGAAGAAGCACCGGCCAACUACGUGCCAGCAGCCGCGGUAAUACGUAGGGUGCGAGCGUUGUCCGGAAUUACUGGGCGUAAAGAGCUCGUAGGUGGUUUGUCGCGUUGUUCGUGAAAACUCACAGCUUAACUGUGGGCGUGCGGGCGAUACGGGCAGACUAGAGUACUGCAGGGGAGACUGGAAUUCCUGGUGUAGCGGUGGAAUGCGCAGAUAUCAGGAGGAACACCGGUGGCGAAGGCGGGUCUCUGGGCAGUAACUGACGCUGAGGAGCGAAAGCGUGGGGAGCGAACAGGAUUAGAUACCCUGGUAGUCCACGCCGUAAACGGUGGGUACUAGGUGUGGGUUCCUUCCUUGGGAUCCGUGCCGUAGCUAACGCAUUAAGUACCCCGCCUGGGGAGUACGGCCGCAAGGCUAAAACUCAAAGGAAUUGACGGGGGCCCGCACAAGCGGCGGANCAUGUGGAUUAAUUCGAUGCAACGCGAAGAACCUUACCUGGGUUUGACNUGCACAGGACGCCGGCAGANAUGUNGNUUCCCUUGUGGCCUGUGUGCAGGUGGUGCAUGGCUGUCGUCAGCUCGNGUCGUGANAUGUUGGGUUAAGUCCCGCAACGAGCGCAACCCUUGUCCUAUGUUGCCAGCGGGU
This 1044-nucleotide ribosomal RNA is filed under the name Mycolicibacterium mucogenicum. RNAcentral describes it as "bacterial SSU rRNA". It matches the Rfam family "Bacterial small subunit ribosomal RNA", at positions 62 to 1126 of the family's 1533-position model. Lineage: Bacteria; Bacillati; Actinomycetota; Actinomycetes; Mycobacteriales; Mycobacteriaceae. The record is from RNAcentral.